Molecule: transfer RNA, 68 nt
Filed under: Scaptocoris castanea
Lineage: Eukaryota; Metazoa; Arthropoda; Insecta; Hemiptera; Cydnidae
Description: tRNA-Ser
Source: RNAcentral
AAGAGAAUGAAGGUCUGAAAGGAGCCGCUAACUCCUCUUCAAAGCGGUUAAAUUCCGUUUUUCUCUUA